RNAcentral lists this ribosomal RNA (465 nucleotides) under uncultured bacterium. RNAcentral describes it as "partial 16S ribosomal RNA". It matches the Rfam family "Bacterial small subunit ribosomal RNA", at positions 29 to 507 of the family's 1533-position model. The record is from RNAcentral.
AGUGAACGCUGGCGGCGUGCUUAAUACAUGCAAGUCGAACGAUGAAGCUUCUAGCUUGCUCGCAGUGGAUUAGUGGCGCACGGGUGAGUAAUAUAUAGUUAAUCUGCCUUGCACUGAGGAACAACAGUUGGAAACGAUUGCUAAUACCUCAUACUCCAACUUAGCAUAAGUUACGUUGGGAAAGUCUUUUCGGUGCAAGAUGAGACUAUAUCGUAUCAGCUAGUUGGUAAGGUAAUGGCUUACCAAGGCUAUGACGCGUAACUGGUCUGAGAGGAUGAUCAGUCAAAUUGGAACUGAGACACGGUCCAAACUCCUACGGGAGGCAGCAGUAAGGAAUAUUGGGCAAUGGGGGAAACCCUGACGCAGCAACGCCGCGUGGAGGAUGACACUUUUCGGAGCGUAAACUCCUUUUGUUAGGGAAGAAUAAUGACGGUACCUAACGAAUAAGCACCGGCUAACUCCGUG